GUGUGAGAAUUGGUAAUCAAGAUGUGGUUCCAACUUUUGACAAGGUAUCUAAUUGAGUUUUUUUUUUAUGAAAAGAGUGUAAGUCUUAUUAUAGUAAAACUGUUAUUCAGAUGUUUUGUAGACUGUCUUCCAAUGUGUGCUGCAUUUUUGUAGAAAUGCAUGUUUGAUUUAUGUGUGCAUCAUAAAAUGUCUACAUUGUACAUGAUGAACAACUUGUGAAAUGCUAAAUAUCUUACUAUGAUAAUUAUUAAAGAUUUGAAAAAUAAAUUGCAUGUAUAUAUCUUCAUUUUAUUUAUUUGCAUACUAUGUGACAUUAUCAGUCUUAUGAACCUGUAGAUUUAAACUAACCAUAUUCAGUCUGCUGAAACAUGAAAUAAUUUUCAUUAAAUACUUAUACAGCUAAACAGCAGUAAAUAAUAAUCAAGGUGGGUCUUGUGAAUAAGUUUCAUGGGGAAAUGUUUUGAUCUGUUGGCUAAUAAUUAAUACAAAUUAGACUGGUACAGAUAUAUACUUUUAAGUGGAGGGUCCAUAUUCUAAGUAGGGAGAGUGUCAAUCUUGUUUUGAAUAUUUAAUCAUUUCAUCAAAGCACACCACUGGAAAUUGAAGAAGAAACAAUCUUAUUUGUUACUUAUGAGAUUUGUAAUUGAUUUAGAUUAGUUGCCACUCUUUUAUAAGACUGUAUGUAAUACUCUUGGUUGUUGUUUUUUUAAUGCUCCUGUAUAUGCAUUGCCCUUGUUCUCAUUUUUUGUUGUGAAACUGUUAUUUUAACAGUUCAGGAAAUUUAAUGAUAUUUUGAUAGCUUGUAUUUAGAUAGACAAUUACAAAUAUUUACAAAAUAGUGCAUCAUAUAGUAGCCAUUUUCUAAUCAACUUGUUGCACAUUAUUAAAAUUAAUAACUGACUGAAAUUGCUCAUUCUUAAUAACAUGUUGCUUUCUAUUUCAAUCAAACCAACUUUCAAAAUUUGGUUGGCUUACCUUAUAUCUAAAGCAGGGGUGUAAAUGGAGUGACAAGGUCUUGUUUCAAAAAUUGUAGGAAAAAUCAUUUCAAAAAAGUAAUCUUUCAAGUGAUGUUGAGCUCUUUAUCUCUGAGAGUGAAUACUUUCCCAUUGGAUAUAACACCAUAGCAGCCAAGCUUUUCAAUCUUCUGUGUAUCUCAUUUUUUUCAGGGAAAUGUUUGUUGCCGAUAAUCAAUGUAGAAUUGGUAACAAAAAAUAGUGAUAGUACAUCAGUACAUGGCUCAUUGUAUUUUAAUGACAUGAUUCAAGACACAUCAUUUGUGAAUCUAAAACAUGUGGAUUGAAUCUAGGUAAAAAUGAAUAUUUGAGAGGCUAACCUAUCGUGUUCAGUUGUUCCACAUAUUCAGGUAUCAAGAUUGAAUGUCCAGACAAGGGCAAGCAGGUAGUGAUUAGUGUUUACCAGGAGGAGACUUGAUCAAAUACUGAUUAUCACAUUAAGAUAAUAGUUUUCAAUUCUGGAGCAAUAUAAUGUUCUCACCAUAGAGGGAGCUAUAGAGUAUGGGACCAAAAGAGCUUCAAUCAUACACAGUAGGCCUAUGCCCUGAGAGAAAUCGAGGACAGUGUAAAGGCCCUGGUUUUAUGAUUCUAAAAUCUAUGUGAGCAGAAUCCAAGAUUUGAAAUGAGUGAAAUCUCUCUUUAAGUGUGACCAAGGUGAGUUUAAAUCAUCUAUUCAUUACUUUUUCUUUUGCUGAGAGAUGUUUUUUUAAUAUCUUAUUAAAAUGUCAUGUAUGAUAAUUAUUGCUUAUUACAAUUAUAUAUUUAUUAUCAUUUGCUACUGUAGAAUUGGGAUCAAUAGCUAGUGGAUAUAAUGUAAGUUUUGUGUCUUUCGCAUGUCAGAAAUCAUAGUCAAAUAUAAGAAUAGGAGCACAUUCAUUUGAUAAAACAAACUUAUAUUCAUGAAUGAUAUUCCAGCUUGUUCUUUGCUUCAAAGAAUUCCAUGAUCUGGAUUAUUACUGGUCCCAUUUAUAAGUAAAGGGGUUUAGCAGAAGGUGGUUGGGGGUGAUUUUCAACUCAUGAAGGAGAGAACAUGAAAAGAAAGUGUGGAAAAGAAAGGAAAAAUUGUUUUGUAACUUCACAAUAUUCCCUUUUAAACAAAUCAAACAAUUUUGGGGGUAUCUUGCACCCCUCCCACAACAGAAUUCCCUGGUUCUCCCCCUGAAUAAAUCUCAUGAAUUCUGAUUCUAAUUACAAUUCUCAGUUAUAUUCCGGUAUUUUUUAUAAAACUUUCUGAAAGUAUUUUCUUUUUUGGUCUGUUUUGAUAAUUAUUAUGCAAGUGGUAGUUCAUCAGGCAACAUUCCACAUCUUGAAUAUAAUGCUUGACUUUUUUGCAAUAUGAUAUUUCAGGUGACACCGAUAGAUGUAUUCGUGCAAUUCUGGUUAAAAAUGCUCAAUCUGAUUAUCACUACACUAUUCUGAACAUUUUACCUAGAUCUAAAAGUACAAGUUCACCAGACAUGCUUUGUUAGGUGGAUAUCUGCUGAUUCAUUCAGUCUGUGAAGGUACAAAUCUAAAUAAUUCUUAGAGUCUGGGACAAACAUCAAAUUGGUUGUAGAGAGGGGAGGGGGGAAGCGAGCAGAUUAUUUUUUAUACCAUGUUUUGACCAACUCAAUUGAUGCCAGGAAAAAUAUACUGUGGUUUUAUAAGUGGAAGUUUUUUAGGUGAUUUGUGGUUGAUGAAAUGAAUGGUAAUUGUUUGCCAAUAGAUUUUGAUUGAAUUAGAGCAAAAGUAUGUUUGACAUGUUUGCGCCAGGGAUUUGGGCUCAUUGUUUGAAAUGCAAGAUUUUUAUCAAAUGCAAGUCAUUACGUGUAUGAUCUUGAAAUGUGACAGGUUUAUGUUUUUGAUGACAGCAUUUUUCACACAUUGAGGGUGUCAUUCAUCAUUGUUAUGAGUGUAAUAUAAUGUCAAAGAUUAAUCCUACCUGCCAUGAUGCUAGCAUGCUAUGUUUACUGGAGAUGUUGGAUGCACUGAUCAAAAUCUCUAGCAAGCAGAAAGAUGUGUAAAGAGAUAGUGAGAGAAAGAGAAAAUGUGGAAGGAAGGAAAUAUUGGAGAGAGGG
Long non-coding RNA from Lytechinus pictus (painted urchin), 3070 nucleotides. RefSeq lists it as uncharacterized. The record is from RefSeq and is a predicted model, not a curated record. The transcript is spliced from 3 exons. NCBI's taxonomy places the organism in Eukaryota, Metazoa, Echinodermata, Echinoidea, Temnopleuroida, Toxopneustidae.